UGGAAAAUGACUCAAAGACCGAUUCUGGUUUGAUUCAUUUCCUCCCUUUGUAACAAAGGCAUUGAGUGCCUUUGAUUCUCCUGAGAUGGUGGGGAUUCCCACAUCUCCUCAGGCUCCUUAUCUCGUUUCAGCUACCGCUCUUGACACCUGCACACCGGUUUCAGCUCCUUCUACAAGUGCCCAGCUCAGCUUGAUGUCAAGAAAAGAUGUGCGUUUGCUCUCUGAGAUCUGCUUUGAAGAAAUAUACGGGAUCUGUCGUUUUUGCUUUUAUUCGUGUUCAUUGCAGAAAUUGGACGUCUGAGAACUGUCGUCGUUCAGAAAGACUCUUUGCGGGUUGCUGUGAAUGAGCAGAGGAGCAUGCAAUGAAUGUAAGAUUUCUCAUAAUGACUGCGGUGGUGAUCACAAAUGCUCCGAAAUGAUCUGGCAGGGCCUUAUUGGCGCUGUCUAACUAAGCCUUUGAGAUUUAUGGCAAUGCCAAGCAUAUUUCAUUAGGCAUUUGUAAAAUCGGAUUGACAGAUGGACCCAAGGCAAGGCCCUGUUGGUGAUGGUGACCCUGGAGACCACCUGGUUGUGUUGACCCAUGACAGGGGCUUUUUGGUGGCAGAUUCCCCACCUGUGGAACGCUUUGCCUGGUAAUUAUGCCAUAUUGUCCUCAUUAUCGACUUUGAGGAGGUGUUUAAAAACAUUCCUGUUAACGUAAGGACCCACAAAGGGGAGGAGGGAAGUUGAUGGGAAUUUAUGGAAUUCUCUUUUUGUUUUGGUUGCUUGAUGAUUGUAAAUUUCAAAAUCUGAAAAUUAAAUAAAUGUAUAAAUAAUUUUUAAAAAAAAUAUCUGUUUACCUGGGCAUUUGAUGGCUGAAUGAUACUGUUCCUGGCAACUUUAAAAUCAUGGGUGGAAAUAUAUUAUUAUUAUUAUUAUUAUUAUUAUUACUACUACCACUAUUAUCAUUAUCAUUUAUUGAAUUUAUAUACUGCCCUAUACCUGGAGGUCUCAGGGCAGUUCACAAAAUAAAGUACGGUUUCUAACUGUUUUUAGAAUGUCCUUAACUGGUUUUGAAAUGUUUUUAAGUACUAAUACGUUUGCUGCCCUGAGCUCCUUUGGGGGAAAAGGCAGGAUAUAAUUUGAAAUAAUAAUAAUAAUAAUAAUAAUAAUAAUAAUAAUAAUAUGAAUAUGCCAUGCUUAUUCUUAUUUGUGGUUGGUUGCAAGUUGCUUUGUGUUGCUCUGGGCAAGAUAAAGCGACUAACAAAUGUAUUAAAUACAGUGGUACCUCGGGUUAAGUACUUAAUUCGUUCCAGAGGUCUGUUCUUAACCUGAAGCACCUCUUUUGCUAAUGGGGCCUCCUGCUGCCACUGCGCCACCGGAGCACGAUUUCUGUUCCCAUCCUGAAGCAAAGUUCUUAACCCGAGGUACUAUUUCUGGGUUAGUGGAGUCUGUAACCUGAAGCGUAUGUAACCUGAAGCGUAUGUAACCCGAGGUACCACUGUAAAUAAUUCCUAUCAGUGCUAUUUUGCUAGAAAAACAGGUGCCAGACCUCACUAUGAACGCCUCCCUUGUUCUCUUAUAACGACAAUGAUGCCCACCUGAGAGGUGCUGGAACAGAGUUACAGCAAGUUACGGCAGGAAAAAAGCCCUGAUUCCUUCUACAUCAAAGUUCAGGAGAGUGUGUGGAUCUUCAUGCAGAUAAAAGUACUAUACAUAAUCAAAAAGGUGGCAUUGGUAGGCUUAGGGGGAACUUCAGGGUUUGCAGAAGUCCAAAAAAAUCUUUAGAAGCACAACUGCGCUAGACCAGAAACAGCUCAAUGAGUACAGGGCAUGCCCAGUGGACAUGAAAUGUUGGAGGGGUGCAAUAGAAAUCGGGUAUGGAGCAUUGGAACAAACACUUGACUGGGUACACACCAUACCUUUAAAGCAUAUGACUUCCCCCCCAAAGUAUCUUGGGAACUGUAGUUAGCACCUCAAAGAGCUAUAAUUUCUGGCACCCUUAACAAACAACAGUUCCCAGGAUUAUGUGGGGGAAGCCAUGUGCUUUGAGUAUGUGGCAUGCAUGCAGAGUAUCUUGGAAUAGGACCUGACUGCCUGCUGGAACCCUGAACAGGAUUCUGUGCAGCUUCCAUAUCUGAGUCCCAUAUGGCCAAUUUAUAAUGGUGGUUACAGGGCAGAGGAGGUCCGUGCUUGUGACCCACCAGAACAUCCUAACAAGACCAAUCACCAGAGAAAGAAAAAAGGAGAAGUAAGCUCUCAUCGUUGUUUUACCACAUAACCAGCAAAGUCUUGUGACCUGACCUUUUGGUUAGAUAUUUCGAUGGAUGGAAUUCCCAGAAGUGCAAGUAGUUAGCAAGAUGUACUCAAGAUACAUCAAGGACUUGGGGAGUCUUGAUUAAAACAGAGCUUCCCAGGAGCCUUCUACUAAACAAGUGACUCAGGAAUUUUGUUCAGGAAUGGAGGCUGGGCAACAGAAAUGGUCUUAUCAGAAGCCUUCACAGACCUGGGUGUGCUUCAGCCAUAACAGCCUGGAAGCUUCAAGGUCAGGAUGCAGAUUCCCAAGAAUGUUUCCCAGCAAGCUGGGACAUGUUGUGAAAGCAGGCUUUGAAAAUGGAACUGCACAUUUUGCAUCAGUACUUAUUAUAGAUAACCCCAUGCGAUUCUGCCCAGCAGUUGAGGUCAUCGUCCAAGCUGUGAGGGUGAUGUGCUCAGCAACAGAACACAUACAUUACAUGCAGAAGGUCCUGAAUUCCAUCUCUGACAUCCCCAGAGAGGGUUGGAAAAGACUCCUGUGUCCCCAGCUGCUGCUGGUCAGUGUAGACAAGGGACAGCCAAUAUGGUGCCCUUCAGAUGUUGUUGGAUCUCACCACCCAUCACUCUUGGCCAUUGACUAUGCUGGCUUGGGCUAAUGGGAGUUGAAGGCCUAGAACAGCUGGAGGGCACCACGUUGGCUACUCCAGGUGAGAACAAUGCUGAGCUAGAUGGAGCAGUGGCCUGACUCAUAUAAGGCAGCUUGCUGUGUUCCUAUCACCCAUCUCUGAGUUCCCAUUGCUUGCUGGGUGGGUGACAACCAGAUUGAAUAUGUUUUCUGUAGUUCUUCUCCAAGUGGUGCUGUCCCUCCCAAGAGAUAUCUGCCAGGAACCUUCAUUAUAAUACUUUAGGCACUGGCAACACCUGCCCUCACGACUGCCACCCUUUAGCGGAACUCCUGUGUUUGUUUGCUGGCUCUUUGGGCAACUAGGGAUGUGAGGAGGCGUUUAUUUCCUUUCCAGGCUGUGUUCACUGCAUGCAGCACUGUUUCCGUUCUGCUGCAUUUCGGCUUCCAACCCAAAAAAUGCCAUUACACUGGUACCUCGGGUUACAGACGCUUCAGGUUACAGACACUUCAGGUUACAGACUCCGCUAACCCAGAAAUAGUACCUCGGGUUAAGAACUUUGCUUCAGGAUGAGAACAGAAAUUGCGCGCUGGCGGCGCAGUGGCAAUGGCAGCGGGAGGCCCCAUUAGCUAAAGUGGUACCUCAGGUUAAGAACCAUUUCAGGUUAAGAACAGACCACCAGAAUGAAUUAAGUUCUUAACCCGAGGUACCAAUGUAGUCUCAUGGUCCCGUGUGGCAGAAUUUUGCACCAUUAAUUGCACCGUUAUUACAUUAUUUCACAACGCAUUGUUAAACGCCACCCCAAUCAGUGCGUAAGACUUUGAGGGUUCCAGGCACUCACCCAGGAUUUGUGUUUCCUUUGGAAGAUUAGGCACAAUGGCAACUGUGGUGUCUUCAUGAUAUUUGGUUUAUUUACACAUGUAUACAAGCUGAGCCUGCUUAUGGAGCAUCAUACAGCAGCAGUACCCAAAAGCACACCAGCUUAUAGCAGCAGCAACAAUAAGCCCAGCACCAUUUUUUCUCUGCAGAGCACAAUACAACUUUCUGGUUACAUCACUCCAACCCUAACCCCACAGCUUCUCCCCCUAGCCAAAAUCCUUGUCUCAUAACCCAGGGGAAGUUCCCUCCUUUGAUGUGCUAAAGCUCAUUACCUCACAGGAGAUUAGCUUUUCAUACCUAUUCACACUUAGCCCUUUCAAUGCUUUGAACGUUAAAUGGUCUAUCCCCACAGGCGGUUCCUUCAGGAGGAAAUUAGUCUUUCGAGUUAACACUUUUUUAUAUUGGGAAAAAUUAUUUGCUUUUUUAUACUGGAAACUUUUCAUUUACCAGGAAGGAUGAUGCCAUCAUACUUCUUCUGGAACCAACGCAUGGCUUCCUCCUUGCUGAUUCAGUGCUGGACCCCAAUGCCACCAAUUUGGUGCUUCUUGUCAGCAAGGCUGAAGCCUGGCCUGCCCAGAACCAACACUUGGAUCGUAUUUCAUCCCUAGAUCAACGUGCUCCUGGAUUCUGAAGCCAAAGUCGCCGGUGUCAGAAGAGUUAUUCCUCCUCAGCUCGUAUUCUCGCACCUUCAGCCCUUCUCUAAGAUCUCCUCAGCUUUGGCCCCCAGCAUAUAUGAAUGAA
Molecule: long non-coding RNA, 4478 nt
Filed under: Podarcis lilfordi (Lilford's wall lizard)
Lineage: Eukaryota; Metazoa; Chordata; Lepidosauria; Squamata; Lacertidae
Source: RNAcentral